RNAcentral lists this transfer RNA (72 nucleotides) under Loxodonta africana (African savanna elephant). It matches the Rfam family "tRNA". From Rfam's summary of the family: Transfer RNA (tRNA) molecules are approximately 80 nucleotides in length. Their secondary structure includes four short double-helical elements and three loops (D, anti-codon, and T loops). The record is from Rfam by way of RNAcentral. Lineage: Eukaryota; Metazoa; Chordata; Mammalia; Proboscidea; Elephantidae.
CCCUGGGUAGUGCAAAUGGUUAACACGUUUGGCUCUUAACCAAAAGGUUGGAGGUUCGAGUUUACCCAGAGG